Long non-coding RNA from Triticum dicoccoides, 1803 nucleotides. RefSeq lists it as uncharacterized. The transcript is spliced from 12 exons. The record is from RefSeq and is a predicted model, not a curated record. Lineage: Eukaryota; Viridiplantae; Streptophyta; Magnoliopsida; Poales; Poaceae.
CCCCACCCUCUCCCAAUCCCUAAUCUCUCGUGGCCAGUGGAUUCGCCCCUUGUGGGGUCGAUUCCUCCGAGACGUCGGUCUGGAGGGCCGGCCGGGAGCGGCACGUCCCCCGUCGGCGCGUCGGUGGCGACGGCCCCGCAGGUUGUUGCUCGCGGUUGGUUGCAAGGAUAGUUGUUGCGGUGGUCAAUUUCUCCUAGAAAGGUUUGUCUUCAACCUCUGGAGAUUUGUCUUCGACUAGCUCCGAGAGGUGUCACGGUCUGAGAGGAUAUAGUGGGAUGGCUCCAUCUGCUAGAGUGAUUGGUAGUGGCUGUUAAAACGAUAGCUGACUGUAACAAAUAAUGUGUGAGAACAAGGAGCCAAAAAUAUUGGGAAAUGACCAUAAGAUAGAUAGUGGAUUCAGUGAUUUGGUUAUUAUGGAGGUUGAUGGAACUUGGUCUACUGUCAGAAUUCAGAGCCAUAAAGCAUUGGACUUGGACAAGCAACAAACAAUCAAGGAUGCGUACGUGACUGCUCCAUGGUUGAGAGCUCUUCCAUGGCAGCAACCAGCAGUCCCAAGGCCAAGGACAGUUGUUGUAAGGAAUGUGUUUCCAUGCACCCGCCUCGACCUUUAGGACUGAUUUUAUGCUCUUCGAUUUUGUACUCAGUCAAGUAAUGUUUUUAUGGUUCAUGAAGGUGAGAUAUUUGAAGCUCUACGCUUGUGUGACUAGAAUGGUGAACAUCUUUUUUAAUGGUGAUGCGCUGAGAAUGUGUCCAAGGGGAUCCAGUGGUGCGGGGUGAUGACUGUGGGCAGGCUCCGCUGGGGGAACGAGGUGUUCCGGAAGAGGAUCCAGCCCGGCGAUACUGAGGCUAAGGUCAGCCUGGAGAUGCUCAGGCGUAUCGAAAGCGGAUCAUCGCCUCCCGGAAGCACCAUGGCUACUACUGCUCCGCAUCGCUGCUCCUUAGAUGAGCUCUCGCGAUGCCAGUACCGGUACCCGGAGCAGCGUCGGCCGCCGAGACGGCUGUCCAUGUUGCCAUUGUCAUUGUCCUUCAGCUGGAUCGCGGGGCGGUGACAUGUUCGUCGUGCUCAUUGCUUCUUAUCACUUCGACUACCUGAUAGAGAUGGAAGAGGCAAUGCAGGCCAAGGUGCGCUCGCCGGCGCCGCCCACUGAACGGCGGAUCCAGUGCACACUCAGUGCGCGCAGGGGGUGACGGGCCAAGGUGCACUCGCCGGUGCCGCCCACUGACCGGCGGAUCCAGGAGCACCCUCUACGAUGACCUCCCCGGCACGCCACCGCUGUCGACGGUCGCCUAGGUACUGCCGACGAGGUACUACCGAUGAUCUUGGCUCGCAGGUUAUGGAUUACCUGAUGAGAAACGGGGUUUUAUGUGACUGUAUUUAGUAUUCAAUAUGGAACCUGACAGAGAAUAUGUGGAUGCUGGUUAUUUUCCCACUAGAUGAUUUGUUGGGUUCCAUAGAAGGGAAAGAAAGCUUCAACUGAUUGCAAGGAAGGCCUAUUCAAAGAACGACAACCAGAAAAUAUUCCUGUCUAUAUGCAGGGUAUACAAUUUUUGCCCAAUAUGCUAUGUAAAAAUAGUUUACAUUGGUCGGUAUUCGGGUGAUUGAGUUGUAUCCAUGAUGUAAAGUCGUUUAAUUGUCAUGAGUUUGUGUGCACAUAUAAGGUAUUUUUAUGUAUUGUCCAUACUAUUGUUAUUCCCGUCACUCAUAAUCCGGAGAUAUUAGUUGAUGAAUGAUUAAUCGUGCCUUUCUUUUGGUAUAAGGUACUUAAACUUCCUUUUGGUAUAUCAUGCUGCAUUUCCUAAGAA